UGGGGAAUUUUGGACAAUGGGCGAAAGCCUGAUCCAGCAAUGCCGCGUGUGUGAAGAAGGCCUUCGGGUUGUAAAGCACUUUUGUCCGGAAAGAAAUCCUUGGCUCUAAUACAGUCGGGGGAUGACGGUACCGGAAGAAUAAGCACCGGCUAACUACGUGCCAGCAGCCGCGGUAAUACGUAGGGUGCAAGCGUUAAUCGGAAUUACUGGGCGUAAAGCGUGCGCAGGCGGUUUGCUAAGACCGAUGUGAAAUCCCCGGGCUCAACCUGGGAACUGCAUUGGUGACUGGCAGGCUAGAGUAUGGCAGAGGGGGGUAGAAUUCCACGUGUAGCAGUGAAAUGCGUAGAGAUGUGGAGGAAUACCGAUGGCGAAGGCAGCCCCCUGGGCCAAUACUGACGCUCAUGCACGAAAGCGUGGGGAGCAAACAGGAUUAGAUACCCUGGUAGUCCACGCCCUAAACGAUGUCAACUAGUUGUUGGGGAUUCAUUUCCUUAGUAACGUAGCUAACGCGUGAAGUUGACCUGCCUGGGGAGUACGGUCGCAAGAUUAAAACUCAAAGGAAUUGACGGGGUCAUAGCUGUUUCCU
Molecule: ribosomal RNA, 586 nt
Filed under: uncultured bacterium
Lineage: Bacteria
Description: partial 16S ribosomal RNA
Rfam family: Bacterial small subunit ribosomal RNA
Source: RNAcentral